UACAGAGGUCCCAAGCGUUGUUCGGAUUCACUGGGCGUAAAGGGUGCGUAGGCGGUCGGGUAAGUCUGAUGUGAAAUCUCGAAGCCUAACUUCGAAACUGCAUUGGAUACUAUUCGGCUAGAGGAGCGGAAGGGAGACUGGAAUGCUCGGUGUAGCAGUGAAAUGCGUAGAUAUCGAGCGGAACACCAGUGGCGAAGGCGAGUCUCUGGACACUUCCUGACGCUGAGGCACGAAAGCCAGGGGAGCAAACGGG
RNAcentral lists this ribosomal RNA (253 nucleotides) under uncultured bacterium. RNAcentral's name for it is "partial 16S ribosomal RNA". It matches the Rfam family "Bacterial small subunit ribosomal RNA", at positions 524 to 776 of the family's 1533-position model. The record is from RNAcentral.